RNAcentral lists this ribosomal RNA (115 nucleotides) under Erinaceus europaeus (western European hedgehog). Lineage: Eukaryota; Metazoa; Chordata; Mammalia; Eulipotyphla; Erinaceidae. The record is from RNAcentral.
GAGAAUAACAAAAACACAUGUGGCCCGAUCUCAUCCGAUCUCAGAAGCUAAACAGGGUUGGGCCUGGUUAGUACUUGGAUAGGAGACAGCCUAGAGAUACCGGGUGCUGUAGGCU